CUGAGAUUGAUGAAGCGUCUGGACACAUCACCAGCCCGAUGGACACGAGUCCAACGCAGUAAGAAGAACAAGUUUGGCAAGAAGAGAAAGAGCUCCAAAGGCUGUAUGUAAGAGGACUGAAGAGCCGCAGACCCCCUCAAAAGCCAUAGCCCAGUGACCAGACUGGAGCCCAGGGGGCCCCCAUCAGCCGCCCCAGGGUUCGGAGGCCCUCUUCCAGGGGCAAGAAGCGGGCUAGAAGACAGGGAGGACUCAGGGGCCCCAGAGCAGUCCUUCUACCCCCAUGCUGGCCUUGCCUCAUCCCUUCUCCUGCUGCAACUAUCCCUUCCGUAUUUCUAGCCCCCGCCGCAUGGCUGAGCUGCCAGGCCCAGAGAGGCAGAGGAGGGAGUGUGAGAGGAGGCAGCAGGACUGUCCCCUCUGAAGAAAGGUCACCCAGGACCCUGGACCUGACCCCCUGCUCCCCACUGCACCCCACCUCUUCCUUGUAAAUAUCAUUUAUACGUAACUGAAUAAACGGCUAUUCUGGCUUCCCACCCA
Molecule: long non-coding RNA, 534 nt
Organism: Myotis brandtii (Brandt's bat)
Lineage: Eukaryota; Metazoa; Chordata; Mammalia; Chiroptera; Vespertilionidae
Exons: 2
Source: RefSeq, a predicted model, not a curated record